RNAcentral lists this ribosomal RNA (253 nucleotides) under uncultured bacterium. RNAcentral describes it as "partial 16S ribosomal RNA". It matches the Rfam family "Bacterial small subunit ribosomal RNA", at positions 524 to 776 of the family's 1533-position model. The record is from RNAcentral.
UACGGAGGGGACUAGCGUUGUUCGGAAUUACUGGGCGUAAAGCGCACGUAGGCGGAUUUGUAAGUCAGGGGUGAAAUCCCGGGGCUCAACCUCGGAACUGCCUUUGAUACUGCAAAUCUCGAGUCCGGAAGAGGUGAGUGGAAUUCCUAGUGUAGAGGUGAAAUUCGUAGAUAUUCGCAGGAACACCAGUGGCGAAGGCGGCUUACUGGUCCAUUACUGACGCUGAGGUGCGAAAGCGUGGGGAGCAAACAGG